AAUCCAUGCAUCGAACAUUUACGCAACAAAUCCUUGAAACAUUCACAUACUUCGUACAAGUUCUCAUCUUCCAACUACUUAAAGGAUGUUAAAUCAUUUAUGAGCUU
Molecule: small nucleolar RNA, 107 nt
Organism: Hibiscus syriacus
Lineage: Eukaryota; Viridiplantae; Streptophyta; Magnoliopsida; Malvales; Malvaceae
Source: RefSeq, a predicted model, not a curated record